UAGAGUUUGAUCAUGGCUCAGGACGAACGCUGGCGGCGUGCCUAAUACAUGCAAGUCGAGCGGAUCUUCAUUAGCUUGCUUUUGAAGAUCAGCGGCGGACGGGUGAGUAACACGUGGGCAACCUGCCUGUAAGACUGGGAUAACUUCGGGAAACCGGAGCUAAUACCGGAUAAUCCUUUCCCUCUCAUGAGGGAAAGCUGAAAGACGGUUUCGGCUGUCACUUACAGAUGGGCCCGCGGCGCAUUAGCUAGUUGGUGAGGUAACGGCUCACCAAGGCAACGAUGCGUAGCCGACCUGAGAGGGUGAUCGGCCACACUGGGACUGAGACACGGCCCAGGACUCCUACGGGAGGCAGCAGUAAGGGAAUCUUCCGCAAAUGGACGAAAGUCUGACGGAGCAACGCCGCGUGAACGAUGAAGGCUUUCGGGUCGUAAAGUUCUGUUGUCAGGGAAGAACAAGUACCGGAGUAACUGCCGGUACCUUGACGGUACCUGACCAGAAAGCCACGGCUAACUACGUGCCAGCAGCCGCGGUAAUACGUAGGUGGCAAGCGUUGUCCGGAAUUAUUGGGCGUAAAGCGCGCGCAGGCGGUUCCUUAAGUCUGAUGUGAAAGCCCCCGGCUCAACCGGGGAGGGUCAUUGGAAACUGGGGAACUUGAGUGCAGAAGAGGAGAGCGGAAUUCCACGUGUAGCGGUGAAAUGCGUAGAGAUGUGGAGGAACACCAGUGGCGAAGGCGGCUCUCUGGUCUGUAACUGACGCUGAGGCGCGAAAGCGUGGGGAGCGAACAGGAUUAGAUACCCUGGUAGUCCACGCCGUAAACGAUGAGUGCUAAGUGUUAGAGGGUUUCCGCCCUUUAGUGCUGCAGCAAACGCAUUAAGCACUCCGCCUGGGGAGUACGGCCGCAAGGCUGAAACUCAAAGGAAUUGACGGGGGCCCGCACAAGCGGUGGAGCAUGUGGUUUAAUUCGAAGCAACGCGAAGAACCUUACCAGGUCUUGACAUCCUCUGACAACCCUAGAGAUAGGGCGUUCCCCUUCGGGGGACAGAGUGACAGGUGGUGCAUGGUUGUCGUCAGCUCGUGUCGUGAGAUGUUGGGUUAAGUCCCGCAACGAGCGCAACCCUUGAUCUUAGUUGCCAGCAUUCAGUUGGGCACUCUAAGGUGACUGCCGGUGACAAACCGGAGGAAGGUGGGGAUGACGUC
RNAcentral lists this ribosomal RNA (1200 nucleotides) under Mesobacillus thioparans. Its description in RNAcentral is "bacterial SSU rRNA". It matches the Rfam family "Bacterial small subunit ribosomal RNA", at positions 1 to 1186 of the family's 1533-position model. The record is from RNAcentral. Lineage: Bacteria; Bacillati; Bacillota; Bacilli; Caryophanales; Bacillaceae.